Molecule: ribosomal RNA, 518 nt
Filed under: uncultured bacterium
Lineage: Bacteria
Description: bacterial SSU rRNA
Rfam family: Bacterial small subunit ribosomal RNA
Source: RNAcentral
AGAGUUUGAUCCUGGCUCAGAACGAACGCUGGCGGAGUGCUUAAGACAUGCAAGUCGUACGAGAAAGCCGCCUUCGGGUGGUGAGUAAAGUGGCGCACGGGUGAGUAACACGUGGAUAAUCUGCCUUUUGGUUUGGGAUAACCCCGGGAAACUGGAGCUAAUACCGAAUGAGCCUACGACGUCCUCGGGCGAUGUGGGAAAAGAUGGCCUCUCCUUGGAAGCUAUCGCCAGAAGAUGAGUCCGCGCACCAUUAGCUUGUUGGUGAGGUAAAGGCUCACCAAGGCUACGAUGGUUAGCUGGUCUGAGAGGAUGAUCAGCCACACUGGAACUGAGACACGGUCCAGACUCCUACGGGAGGCAGCAGUCGGGAAUCUUGGGCAAUGGGCGAAAGCCUGACCCAGCAACUCCGCGUGAGGGAUGAAGGCCUUCGGGUCGUAAACCUCUGUCGGGAGGGAAGAAAUGUCAUGUUGCGAAUAGUUUCAUGGCUUGACGGUACCUCCAAAGAAGCACCGCUAACU